This 458-nucleotide ribosomal RNA is filed under the name uncultured bacterium. RNAcentral describes it as "partial 16S ribosomal RNA". It matches the Rfam family "Bacterial small subunit ribosomal RNA", at positions 338 to 795 of the family's 1533-position model. The record is from RNAcentral.
CCUACGGGAGGCAGCAGUGGGGAAUAUUGCACAAUGGGGGAAACCCUGAUGCAGCGACGCCGCGUGAGUGAAGAAGUAUUUCGGUAUGUAAAGCUCUAUCAGCAGGGAAGAAAUAGCGACCUUUGGGUCGCCAGACGGUACCUGACUAAGAAGCCCCGGCUAACUACGUGCCAGCAGCCGCGGUAAUACGUAGGGGGCAAGCGUUAGCCGGAUUUACUGGGUGUAAAGGGAGCGUAGACGGCAGCACAAGUCUGAAGUGAAAUGCCGGGGCUUAACCCCGGAACUGCUUUGGAAACUGUGCAGCUAGAGUGCAGGAGAUGUAAGUGGAAUUCCUAGUGUAGUGGUGAAAUGCGUAGAUAUUAGGAGGAACACCAGUGGCGAAGGCGACUUACUGGACUGUAACUGACGUUGAGGCUCGAAAGCGUGGGGAGCAAACAGGAUUAGAUACCCCAGUAGUC